GCGGAGGGAUCAUUACACAAUAUGAAAGCGGGUUGGGACCUCACUUUGGUGAGGGCUCCAGCUUGUCUGAAUUAUUCACCCAUGUCUUUUGCGCACUUCUUGUUUCCUGGGCGGGUUCGCCCGCCACCAGGACCAAACCAUAAACCUUUUUGUAAUUGCAAUCAGCGUCAGUAAACAAUGUAAUUAUUACAACUUUCAACAACGGAUCUCUUGGUUCUGGCAUCGAUGAAGAACGCAGCGAAAUGCGAUACGUAGUGUGAAUUGCAGAAUUCAGUGAAUCAUCGAAUCUUUGAACGCACAUUGCGCCCUUUGGUAUUCCAAAGGGCAUGCCUGUUCGAGCGUCAUUUGUACCCUCAAGCUUUGCUUGGUGUUGGGCGUCUUUGUCUCUCACGAGACUCGCCUUAAAAUGAUUGGCAGCCGACCUACUGGUUUCGGAGCGCAGCACAAUUCUUGCACUUUGAAUCAGCCUUGGUUGAGCAUCCAUCAAGACCACAUUUUUUAACUUUUGACCUCGGAUCAGGUAGGGAUACCCGCUGAACUUAAGCAUAUCAAAAGCCGGAGGAAA
This 565-nucleotide ribosomal RNA is filed under the name Stemphylium solani. Its description in RNAcentral is "partial 18S ribosomal RNA". The stretch from base 191 to 344 matches the Rfam family "5.8S ribosomal RNA". Lineage: Eukaryota; Fungi; Ascomycota; Dothideomycetes; Pleosporales; Pleosporaceae. The record is from RNAcentral.